AUUUCCCUUAGGUACCUUCAUUAAUUCAAUUAGAUAAGAAAAGAAAAAAUAUAACAAAUCAAGCUGACAACCUAAACUCAGAAUCUUAAUCCCCAAUCAGAAACAUUUCCAUUCAGUGAAAGAAUAAGAUAUAAAAUGUACAAGAACCUUGAGAUUUUGAAUUUAAUAACAGGAAUAAUUGUUAUUCCAUCAGCACUCAACCUGAUACAAUGUCCUUAAGAUAGUGUUUUGUUACUCUCUUUCAUUCUCCUGGACACAGACAGGGUCCCAAAAAAUCUGCCAGUCCAGUGAAUACUUCUCCAUACAAAGAUUAUCAAUAUCAAAUUCCCCUAGUAACUUAAAAUAUCAAAGUGACAAUAUGACUGUAAGAUUGAUGCCAUACCAUCUAAUUUCUAUUAUUGAUCUCACUUGCUUCAUAAUCUUUCAACCACUUACAAUGGCACAAAUAACUAGGUCAGAAAUGAGAACCUAUAACUGUCUCCUACUUGUAAGGUGAAGAUAGCCAGAGAAUAAUUGAUUUUUAGUAGUUUGUGUGUAAUUAGUUCCAAUUAAAAGAAAGUUGGAAAAAGUGUUCAAUCAAGUGAAUAAAUUAAAACCAUCUUGAAGACAUCAUGUUACUUAUAUCAACUAUAUAUUGGAUAAAAAACACAAAAGCUCCAUCAACUUUACUGUACCAGAACUGCCCAUAACUCUUACCUUUAGGCUUUAACUUAAGCAGGUAUAUAUGGCAUGCUUUUGGAGUAGGUGUUAGGUACAAAUAUUAUCAGAGAGAAAAAG
RNAcentral lists this unclassified non-coding RNA (777 nucleotides) under Hevea brasiliensis (rubber tree). Lineage: Eukaryota; Viridiplantae; Streptophyta; Magnoliopsida; Malpighiales; Euphorbiaceae. The record is from RNAcentral.